AGGGGUUUAGCUCAGUUGGUAGAAUGCUUGCCUGGCAUGCAGGAGACUCUGGAUUUGAUUCCCAGCACCACCA
This 73-nucleotide transfer RNA is filed under the name Cricetulus griseus (Chinese hamster). It matches the Rfam family "tRNA". Rfam says of the family: Transfer RNA (tRNA) molecules are approximately 80 nucleotides in length. Their secondary structure includes four short double-helical elements and three loops (D, anti-codon, and T loops). Lineage: Eukaryota; Metazoa; Chordata; Mammalia; Rodentia; Cricetidae. The record is from Rfam by way of RNAcentral.